Molecule: ribosomal RNA, 389 nt
Filed under: uncultured bacterium
Lineage: Bacteria
Description: bacterial SSU rRNA
Rfam family: Bacterial small subunit ribosomal RNA
Source: RNAcentral
GACGAACGCUGGCGGCGUGCUUAACACAUGCAAGUCGAACGGUGACCCGGAGCUUGCUCCGGUGAUCAGUGGCGAACGGUGAGUAACACGUGGGCAACCUGCCCCUGACUCCGGGAUAACUACUCGAAAGAGCAGCUAAUACCAGAUACGACCACUUCGGGCAUCCGAUGGUGGUGGAAAGUUUUUCGGUCAGGGAUGGGGCCCCGCGGCCUAUCAGCUUGAUGGUGGGGUAGUGGCCUACCAUGGCGACGACGGGUAGCCGGCCUGAGAGGGCGACCGGCCACACUGGGACUGAGACACGGCCCAGACUCCUACGGGAGGCAGCAGUGGGGAAUAUUGCGCAAUGGGCGAAAGCCUGACGCAGCGACGCCGCGUGAGGGAUGACGGCC